GUGCCAGCAGCCGCGGUAAUACCGGCAGCUCAAGUGAUGUCCCAUAUUAUUGGGCCUAAAGCGUCCGUAGCUGGCCGACCAAGUCUCCCGGGAAAUCCACCCGCCCAACGGGUGGGCGUCCGGUAGAAACUGGCCGGCUUGGAACCGGAAGGCUCGAAGGGUACGUUCGGGGUAGGAGUGAAAUCCCAUAAUCCCGCACAGACCACCGAUGGCGAAAGCACUUCGAGAAAACGGAUCCGACAGUGAGGGACGAAAGCCAGGGUCUCCAACCGGAUUAGAAACCCAGUGUCC
This 291-nucleotide ribosomal RNA is filed under the name uncultured bacterium. RNAcentral describes it as "partial 16S ribosomal RNA". It matches the Rfam family "Archaeal small subunit ribosomal RNA", at positions 455 to 747 of the family's 1478-position model. The record is from RNAcentral.